This 82-nucleotide ribosomal RNA is filed under the name Streptomyces sp. SID2131. RNAcentral describes it as "partial 16S ribosomal RNA". It matches the Rfam family "Bacterial small subunit ribosomal RNA", at positions 1 to 80 of the family's 1533-position model. RNAcentral also lists the same sequence under 1 other name. The record is from RNAcentral. Lineage: Bacteria; Bacillati; Actinomycetota; Actinomycetes; Kitasatosporales; Streptomycetaceae.
CAUUCACGGAGAGUUUGAUCCUGGCUCAGGACGAACGCUGGCGGCGUGCUUAACACAUGCAAGUCGAACGAUGAAGCCCUUC